This 496-nucleotide ribosomal RNA is filed under the name uncultured bacterium. RNAcentral describes it as "partial 16S ribosomal RNA". It matches the Rfam family "Bacterial small subunit ribosomal RNA", at positions 28 to 507 of the family's 1533-position model. The record is from RNAcentral.
GAUGAACGCUGGGGCGUGCCUAAUCCAUGCAAGUCGAGCGAACGGACGAGAAGCUUGCUUCUCUGAUGUUAGCGGCGGACGGGUGAGUAACACGUGGAUAACCUACCUAUAAGACUGGGAUAACUUCGGGAAACCGGAGCUAAUACCGGAUAAUAUUUUGAACCGCAUGGUUCAAAAGUGAAAGACGGUCUUGCUGUCACUUAUAGAUGGAUCCGCGCUGCAUUAGCUAGUUGGUAAGGUAACGGCUUACCAAGGCAACGAUGCAUAGCCGACCUGAGAGGGUGAUCGGCCACACUGGAACUGAGACACGGUCCAGACUCCUACGGGAGGCAGCAGUAGGGAAUCUUCCGCAAUGGGCGAAAGCCUGACGGAGCAACGCCGCGUGAGUGAUGAAGGUCUUCGGAUCGUAAAACUCUGUUAUUAGGGAAGAACAUAUGUGUAAGUAACUGUGCACAUCUUGACGGUACCUAAUCAGAAAGCCACGGCUAACUACGUG